GCUCCUGGCUCAGGAUGAACGCUAGCUACAGGCUUAACACAUGCAAGUCGAGGGGCAGCAUGAACUUAGCUUGCUAAGUUUGAUGGCGACCGGCGCACGGGUGAGUAACACGUAUCCAACCUGCCGAUGACUCGGGGAUAGCCUUUCGAAAGAAAGAUUAAUACCCGAUGGCAUAGUUCUUCCGCAUGGUAGAACUAUUAAAGGAUUUCGGUCAUCGAUGGGGAUGCGUUCCAUUAGGUUG
Molecule: ribosomal RNA, 241 nt
Filed under: uncultured bacterium
Lineage: Bacteria
Description: partial 16S ribosomal RNA
Rfam family: Bacterial small subunit ribosomal RNA
Source: RNAcentral